Molecule: long non-coding RNA, 1530 nt
Filed under: Homo sapiens (human)
Lineage: Eukaryota; Metazoa; Chordata; Mammalia; Primates; Hominidae
Description: HSALNT0390627
Source: RNAcentral
AGCGCCUGCAACAAAGCAACCGAGAUCCCGCAGCUGAGCCGCUCCCAUCAUGAAGCCUCUGGCCUACACAAUGGGGAAGAUGAAACCAGCCAGCCUCAUCAAUCGUCCCUGGGCAGGCCAGUCUCCUCUUCAGUCUCAUGUUCAGGGUUUGCAUAAUUAGGCGCCUGAUGGAGGCGAAUGUCUGCCCCACCGAAGGUCGUCAUUGUGCAGCACUCUGUCGGGGAGCUGUGAGGUACACAGCAGCCCGGGCCUGCUCCGAACAGCAGCAGAGCCUGUGAGGAGGAGCCUGGCUUUUGCAGGAGCGCAUUAAUAAGGUUGGAAACCCGUGGCUUGGGAAUCAGAGCCAAUCGCAGUCAUGUCAGAAAUGGAAAUAAGAAACUCCUGGAUGAAAUGGAGGAGCCAGCAACCCUCUAACCAGAGGUUCUGAAUUUCAAUUUGGGGUCCACUCUGCAAAAGCUGAGGGCUAUUGAGCAAAUCCUUCAACCCCUCAGUGUCUUUGUUUCCUGGACUGCAAAAUGGUGGUGACAUACCAGUUCCCCUUAUCUUAGAGACCAAUCGGUUUACACUUUGAAGAGCUCACGGUGUGUUCAGGGCACUAUUCUAAGGGUGUUACAUGUGUAUUAACUCUAUAAUCAGCAACAACCCUAUGCAAGUUUGUAGCUGAUGGACAAAAACUUUGUCAUGGAUCAGCGCUGAUGGGUAGAGUUUAGGAUGCAUUCAUGCCCAGGGCUCCUCUGCCCAGGCUUGGGGCUACCUUGUGGGGCUUGGUUGUGAGGACCAUGGCCAAGGCUGGGUGGCCAGGGACGAAGUAUCUGUCCUGGCCUGAGCACCUGUGCUGACCUAGCCCAUCCACGCCAUCACAGUGGGCACCUUUGCUGUCCUUCUGGGAAUUCUCCCAGUCACUAGUGAGGGUGAUAGCUUUCCCACUUCUGGCCCAACCUGCUCCCACUCCAUUCCAGGGCCCCCUGGGUCAUCUCCCACUUACAGCCCUCCUCUCGCCUUUGGGAUCUGACACCUGAACUCGCUUUCUGCAGUUUGCCCUUUGGCAUUCUUCAAGGGCUUUGGCUGAUCCUGCCUUCUGGCUGCUCCUGCUCCUCCUGCCUGAUCCCCACCUCUGGACCCCAGCCUGGGCUGUCCUCAACUGUCUGGAAACUACUCAGAAUGUUAGAUCUUGAAUCACCUCUUGCAGCCACCACAGUGUGGACUCAAUCCUUUUUCCAUUCAUGUUCUCCUGUUCUGCAACUGGGCUGAAAUGACUGCAUGGCGAUGAGGGAGAGAAGACUGAGUCUCAAGUGGGGACGCAAUUUGUGGAAAACAAUAGGCCCCAGGGCAAGGAGCGAAAUGGGCAAUUAGCCCAGGUCUGUGUUGAAGUCAGUCUCUUGGACUUACCUGGAAGCUCUCUAAGGCAGGGAUAUAUUCAGAUCAUCUUUUCAUUUUUUUAUUUCCUUCCUCCUCCCAACUCUCCAUGUUCACCCCUCCCCAAAAAAACUAGUAAAGCUCAUUUGCAAUAUAUUUGUUGCUUUGAAUUUU